RNAcentral lists this ribosomal RNA (429 nucleotides) under Acidobacteriota bacterium. Its description in RNAcentral is "Acidobacteria bacterium partial 16S ribosomal RNA". It matches the Rfam family "Bacterial small subunit ribosomal RNA", at positions 355 to 776 of the family's 1533-position model. Lineage: Bacteria; Pseudomonadati; Acidobacteriota. The record is from RNAcentral.
UGGGGAAUUUUGGGCAAUGGGGGAAACCCUGACCCAGCCAUCCCGCGUGUGCGAUGAAGGCCUUCGGGUUGUAAAGCACUUUUGGCAGGAAAGAAAAGUCAUGGGUUAAUACCCCGUGAAACUGACGGUACCUGCAGAAUAAGCACCGGCUAACUACGUGCCAGCAGCCGCGGUAAUACGUAGGGUGCAAGCGUUAAUCGGAAUUACUGGGCGUAAAGCGUGCGCAGGCGGUUCGGAAAGAAAGAUGUGAAAUCACAGAGCUCAACUUUGGAACUGCAUUUUUAACUUCCGGGCUUGAGUGUGUCAGAGGGAAGCGGAAUUCCGCGUGUAGCAGUGAAAUGCGUAGAUAUGCGGAGGAACACCGGUGGCGAAGGCAGCCUCCUGGGCUAACACUGACGCUCAUGCACGAAAGCGUGGGGAGCAAACAGG